Molecule: ribosomal RNA, 500 nt
Filed under: uncultured Myrionecta
Lineage: Eukaryota; Ciliophora; Litostomatea; Cyclotrichida; Mesodiniidae
Description: SSU rRNA
Rfam family: Eukaryotic small subunit ribosomal RNA
Source: RNAcentral
CUGUCUCAGACUAGCCAUGCACGUCUAGUACAAACUAAAUGAUGGUGAAACUGCAAAUGGCUCAUUACAACGGUUAUGAUGUACCCGGGAGUUCCGAUGGAUAUUUCCAGUAACACUAGAACUAAUACAUGUCCCUGCGUUUAUUAGUUUCGCACAGUCCGUCGCUGAGUCAUGGUAAACAGUUGAUCGACUCGACGUCCCGGAACAGUUUCCGCCCCAUCAGCUUCGAUGGUUGGGUAUUGGCCUACCAUUGCAACAACGGGUAACGAGGAAUUAGGGUUUGAUUUCGGAGAGGGAGCCUGAGAAACGGCUACCACAUCUACGGAUGGCAGCAGGCGCGCAAAUUACCCAAUGCAGACACUGUGAGGUAGUGACGAGAAAUAAUAAAGCGGGACUUCUGUUUCGCUAUUAUAAUGAGGAAUAACCAAAGGUCAUUCCGAUUAGCAACUGAUGGGAAAGUCUGGUGCCAGCAGCCGCGGUAAUACCAGCGUCAGUAGCAU